AUUUAUAUAGUAUAAUAAGUACCAUUGACUUCCAAUCAAAAAGCCUAAAAAAUUUAGUGUAAAUA
RNAcentral lists this transfer RNA (65 nucleotides) under Lutzomyia trinidadensis. Its description in RNAcentral is "tRNA-Gly". Lineage: Eukaryota; Metazoa; Arthropoda; Insecta; Diptera; Psychodidae. The record is from RNAcentral.